RNAcentral lists this ribosomal RNA (375 nucleotides) under uncultured eukaryote. RNAcentral's name for it is "partial 18S ribosomal RNA". It matches the Rfam family "Eukaryotic small subunit ribosomal RNA", at positions 592 to 976 of the family's 1831-position model. The record is from RNAcentral.
CAAUAGCGUAUAUUUAAGUUGUUGCAGUUAAAAAGCUCGUAGUUGGAUUUCGGUUGAGAGCGGCCGGUCCGCCGUUUGGUGUGCACUGGCUGGUUUCAACUUCCUGUAGAGGACGCGCUUUGGGCUUAACGGUCUGAACGUGGAGUCUACGUGGUUACUUUGAAAAAAUUAGAGUGUUCAAAGCGGGCUUACGCUUGAAUAUUUCAGCAUGGAAUAACACUAUAGGACUCCUGUCCUAUUUCGCUGGUCUCGGGACGGGAGUAAUGAUUAAGAGGAACAGUUGGGGGCAUUCGUAUUUCAUUGUUAGAGGUGAAAUUCUUGGAUUUAUGAAAGACGAACUUCUGCGAAAGCAUUUGCCAAGGAUGUUUUCAUUAA